AACAGGAUUAGAUACCCUGGUAGUCCACGCCGUAAACGAUGUCGACUAGCCGUUGGGCUCCUUGAGAGCUUUGUGGCGCAGUUAACGCGAUAAGUCGACCGCCUGGGGAGUACGGCCGCAAGGUUAAAACUCAAAUGAAUUGACGGGGGCCCGCACAAGCGGUGGAGCAUGUGGUUUAAUUCGAUGCAACGCGAAGAACCUUACCUACCCUUGACAUCGUGCGAACUUUCCAGAGAUGGAUUGGUGCCUUCGGGAGCGCACAGACAGGUGCUGCAUGGCUGUCGUCAGCUCGUGUUGUGAAAUGUUGGGUUAAGUCCCGUAACGAGCGCAACCCUUGUCCUUACUUGCCAGCGAGUCAUGUCGGGAACUCUAAGGAGACUGCCGGUGACAAACCGGAGGAAGGUGGGGACGACGUCAAGUCAUCAUGGCCCUUACGGGUAGGGCUACACACGUGCUACAAUGGCCGGUACAAAGGGUUGCGAAGCCGCGAGGUGGAGCUAAUCCCGAAAAGCUGGUCUCAGUCCGGAUCGGAGUCUGCAACUCGACUCCGUGAAGUCGGAAUCGCUAGUAAUCGUGAAUCAGAAUGUCACGGUGAAUACGUUCCCGGGCCUUGUACACACCGCCCGUCACACCAUGGGAGUGGACUGCACCAGAAGUGGUUAGCCUAACUUCGGAGGGCGAUCACCACGGUGUGGUUCAUGACUGGGGUGAAGUCGUAACAAGGUAACC
RNAcentral lists this ribosomal RNA (729 nucleotides) under uncultured bacterium. RNAcentral describes it as "bacterial SSU rRNA". It matches the Rfam family "Bacterial small subunit ribosomal RNA", at positions 771 to 1501 of the family's 1533-position model. The record is from RNAcentral.